GGACUACCGGGGUAUCUAAUCCCGUUCGCUCCCCUAGCUUUCGCGCCACAGCGUCAGACCAAGGCCAGGAAGCCGCCUUCGCCACUGGUGUUCCUCCGGGUCUCUACGCAUUUCACCGCUACUCCCGGAGUUCCACUUCCCUCUCCUUGUCUCGAGCCCGGCCGUUACCACGGACCCUCCCCAGUUGAGCCGGGGGCUUUCACCGCGGUCGUACUCAGGGCCGCCUACGCGCUCUUUACGCCCAGUAAUUCCGGACAACGCUCGCCUCCUACGUAUUACCGCGGCGGCUGGCAC
This 294-nucleotide ribosomal RNA is filed under the name uncultured bacterium. Its description in RNAcentral is "partial 16S ribosomal RNA". The record is from RNAcentral.